GAUGAACGCUGGCGGCGUGCCUAAUACAUGCAAGUCGAGCGAACAGACGAGAGUGCUUGCUCUCUCUGACGUUAGCGGCGGACGGGUGAGUAACACGUGGGAACCCUACCUAUAAGACUGGGAUAACUUCGGGAAACCGGCGCUAAUCCCGGAUAAUAUUUAGCUUCGCAUGUAGAAAUAGUGAAAGACGGUUCUGCUGACACAUAUAGAUGGACCCGCGGUGUAUUAGCUAGUUGGUGAGGUAACGGCUCACCAAGGCAACGAUACAUAGCCGACCUGAGAGGGUGAUCGGCCACACUGGAACUGAGACACGGCCCAGACUCCUACGGGAGGCAGCAGUAGGGAAUCUUCCGCAAUGGGCGAAAGUCUGACGGAGCAAUGCCGCGUGAGUGAAGAAGGUCUUCGGAUCGUAAAACUCUGUUGUAAGGGAAGAACAAGUACGUUAGUAACUGAACGUACCUUGACGGUACCUUACCAGAAAGCCACGGCUAACUACGUG
RNAcentral lists this ribosomal RNA (499 nucleotides) under uncultured bacterium. RNAcentral's name for it is "partial 16S ribosomal RNA". It matches the Rfam family "Bacterial small subunit ribosomal RNA", at positions 28 to 507 of the family's 1533-position model. The record is from RNAcentral.